GUCAGCCACCUGGCUUUCUGCCUUUCAACUUCUCAGGUGAAAAUCAGACACAAAAUCCCCAUGUCUGUCAGCUUCAGGGGAUACAUGCCAACCUACUCAAGUGAUAGUCCUGAAGACUCUUUCAUUGGGCUUGGGGAGAACAUAUAAAGAACAUAAAGGAGACUAUUUUUGGUUUUUCAGUCACCAAAACUUAAGCCCCCAAUUCCUAAAGACCAGAUACAAUGUAUUCAAGUUGGGAAGAAGCAGACAACAAAAGAGGAAGUCAAAGAGCCAGACAUCCCAACACAGCACUGAAGCAACAUCGGAACCCACCUGCCUGAGUUGAAUCAAAAAGACAGACAGAACCAGAUGUAAUGGAGGAGUGUGCUCAGGACCCAAGGAUGGUACCACAGAGACCUUUCCUACUGGAGACUGAAGACCAAAUAGAAGAGCAGUCCAACAGAUUUCAGACUGUCAACAGCUGUGGCACAUGCCCCACCUAGCCCCACAGCUGUGAGACCAGAGCACCACUCCCCAGUGCCCAAUCCCUCCACAACCCUACCUUAGUCCUGGUACUUAGAUGAACCCCCAGAAGAAUUUUGGUGGGGGUGAAUGGAAUGAUCCUGAAUAAAAUGAAAUAAAGU
Long non-coding RNA from Callithrix jacchus (white-tufted-ear marmoset), 623 nucleotides. RefSeq lists it as uncharacterized. The record is from RefSeq and is a predicted model, not a curated record. Lineage: Eukaryota; Metazoa; Chordata; Mammalia; Primates; Cebidae.